AGCGAACGCUGGCGGCAGGCCUAACACAUGCAAGUCGAACGAACCCUUCGGGGUUAGUGGCGGACGGGUGAGUAACACGUGGGAACGUGCCUUUAGGUUCGGAAUAACUCAGGGAAACUUGUGCUAAUACCGAAUGUGCCCUUCGGGGGAAAGAUUUAUCGCCUUUAGAGCGGCCCGCGUCUGAUUAGCUAGUUGGUGAGGUAAUGGCUCACCAAGGCUACGAUCAGUAGCUGGUCUGAGAGGAUGACCAGCCACAUUGGGACUGAGACACGGCCCAAACUCCUACGGGAGGCAGCAGUGGGGAAUUUUGCGCAAUGGGCGAAAGCCUGACGCAGCCAUGCCGCGUGGAUGAUGAAGGUCUUAGGAUUGUAAAAUCCUUUCACCGGUGAAGAUAAUGACUGUAGCCGGAGAAGAAGCCCCGGCUAACUUCGUGCCAGCAGCCGCCGUAA
RNAcentral lists this ribosomal RNA (449 nucleotides) under uncultured bacterium. RNAcentral's name for it is "partial 16S ribosomal RNA". It matches the Rfam family "Bacterial small subunit ribosomal RNA", at positions 29 to 523 of the family's 1533-position model. The record is from RNAcentral.